Molecule: non-coding RNA, 70 nt
Organism: Cricetulus griseus (Chinese hamster)
Lineage: Eukaryota; Metazoa; Chordata; Mammalia; Rodentia; Cricetidae
Source: Rfam
GAGAGAUGGCUCAGUGGUUAAGAGCACCUGCUGCUCUUCCAGAGGACCUGGGUUCGAUUCCCAGCACUCA